GCAAGUCGAGCGGUAGAUUGAUAACGGAAGCUUCGGUGGAAGAUAUUGAUUGAGAGCGGCGAACGGGUGAGUAACACGUUGGAAUCUGCCCCCAAGUCAGGGAUAGCCAUUGGAAACGAUGAUUAAUACCGGAUAGUCUCUUUGGAGUAAAAAUUUAUUGCUUGGGGAAGAGCCUGCGUCCUAUCAGCUAGUUGGUAGUGUAAAAGACUACCAAGGCAAUGACGGGUAGCCGGCCUGAGAGGGUGAAC
RNAcentral lists this ribosomal RNA (248 nucleotides) under uncultured bacterium. RNAcentral's name for it is "partial 16S ribosomal RNA". It matches the Rfam family "Bacterial small subunit ribosomal RNA", at positions 57 to 305 of the family's 1533-position model. The record is from RNAcentral.